Daphnia pulicaria is the source of this 839-nucleotide long non-coding RNA. RefSeq lists it as uncharacterized. The record is from RefSeq and is a predicted model, not a curated record. The transcript is spliced from 4 exons. NCBI's taxonomy places the organism in Eukaryota, Metazoa, Arthropoda, Branchiopoda, Diplostraca, Daphniidae.
AAAAAUGGUAAAGAAUUUCCAACGCUAAAAUCACACAGACCAAACUACAUCUGAUGACCGAUUAUUCGUAACGAUUCCUCAAUUUAAAGACCAAUAAAUCUCGUGAACGUCACUCGAUUGCACUGGGCAUGGGAACCGGGAUCCCAUGAAGAUCUGUCAUUCGUUUCUUGCAAAUGGUAUACCAAAUGCUAGUUAAUGAGUUAGAAAGCAGUUCAUGGCACAUGUACUUAAAGGUAAAGACGUUCAAUUUUUCCUCUUUAAAAGUCAACUAUAAAGGAAAAUAUGUUAAAAUAAUUCCAUGUUAAAUUUAAAUUACUGCUAUUACGCGCCAUUACGUCUUAUCAUUCGUGAUUUGUUAUCAUGGAGGAUGUGCCAUGUCGCAUGUCAAGCUGCCCCAUCAAUUGGAAAAGCUGCUUGCAUGACAGAAUUUAACAAGACCCUUUGUCAAGAGCAACACAAUUAGAGGCAAUCAUGCGUAAAGAGGUUUUAAAAAAGUGGCCACUUUUUGUUCGAGUUUUUUCUCGUCACUCACACGUACUUGAGAAGUCCUUGAACAUCGGUAUGUUCAGUGUGAUCCUACAACUGGCGUCGAAACGGAUAAUGUCCCAAUAUCUAAUCCAGCCAUGGCAGUUGUUGAUAUUUGUUUGGCCAUGAUCCUGACCACCGAAAAGACGCCGCCGCUGCUCAAGAAAGAGGAAGUCAAAGUUGAGUCCACAAAUCGCACUUGCUUUGGUAGAAAUUGAAACGCGUUUAGAACAACUAUGAAUGCACGUUCUUAUUGGAUCUACUCAUUGGGAAGACCUCUUUAAAACUGUCUGUUGAUUUUUUUUUUUUUUUUU